Microcebus murinus (gray mouse lemur) is the source of this 91-nucleotide small nucleolar RNA. Ensembl annotates it as small nucleolar RNA, C/D box 12C. Its record names the gene SNORD12C. Lineage: Eukaryota; Metazoa; Chordata; Mammalia; Primates; Cheirogaleidae. The record is from Ensembl.
GCUGGUGUAAACGAUGACUUCACUUUUUUCCCCAUCAGAUCGACAAUGCUGAUGCCUUACAACACUUGCCAGUUAUUUCUGAUACACCAGC